ACGCCCCACAUCCUUCUCACUGUAUCGUCGAUUGCGUGGUUGCGUGCGUGCGUGCGUUGACUGCCGCAACACCUCCGCCACUGCUCCGUAAAGGUUGUUGUCCUCGUUCUGUCGCUGCAUCUUUUCCGGUUUUCUCAACGCCCAUAACGCAACGGUGUUCUUUGAUCAUUUCUGCGAACCGCUGAGUGGCCUCGUUGCCUGUCUUCCGUCCUGCGUGUGUGAAUCGGUGUGUGUGUGUACUCCAUUGUUGUAGACGACUCGGUGUAUUUACUCGUUUAUGUUUCGGGCCUGCUCGACCCACCAAUCCCUCCCUCCCUAACAUCUGUUCUUAAAGCACGGUAGCCCCACCUACAGGCGCGCUUCGUCUUGCGCCUAUCACACUGCCCCCUCCCCUCCCUCACCAUCACCACCAUCAUCCCUGCCGCCGCCUCCUCCCUCAUCACUACGGAGUCUUCAUGCAACUGCGCACUCACAUAAACGCCUCUGCUGCCGUUGCUCUGUGUUGUUGAUUUUCGGUUCUGUGUGUGUGUGUGUGUGUGUGUGUGUGUGUGUAUGCGUAUCACAGUCUUACACAGCAGCAGAAUAAAGCCAUGCCGUCGCGCCGCAAGGCGCACAAGCGCGGUGGCCCUCAGAUGCCACAAGAAGACGCAGAGCAUCAGCAGUCAAGCUUGGGUGCCAUCGAGGACGCUCCUGCAUCGGAGCCGAGAAGCACAACUGUUGUUGUGCAGCAGCCGUCUCCAGUGAGCGGAGGCGGCACUGACGACGACUCCUACAUGUCUGUCUUGGCCGACGAGGAAGACUCGUACCGCCUUGUCAUUGAGCAUGACGAACACUUGAAACGAAUUCGUGCGUACAGAGACUUCCACGAUCAGCUCGCUUGCAUGAAGAGGGCGGCAGCCGGAGAAGUCGACCGCGACAGCAGCGUGACGCCGAAACGGGUCUUCGACACAUCCGCCAUCAGCACGGCACCAACUUCUCCAGAAGUGCCUCCGACGACGCGCGCACCGCCCACCCCUUCACAGCAAAAGCAGAGCGCCGCGCUGGGCAGCCAUCCCUCGAUCACCCCCCUCGUCCGCACGCCGACCAACCGCGGCGACGCUUUUCCAGGCAGCGAAAACCACCUGGCGGCGCCGCUCAUGUGCAUGGAGCGCGGCGCCUCUCCGUCUCGGCCACACAAGGCGGCAGAUGCGAAAGAGGUGAGCCGCCUGCAGGCCGAGAACGCGCGAAUGGCGGUGGAGCUGCAGGCGAGUCAGGAGGCGGUGCAGCGGCUGCACGAUUCGCUCCUGGAGGCUCGCGGGGCCCUGCUCCAUCGCGUCCGCCUCGAAGCGAAGGACGGCGCCGUGGGUCAGGUGGCAUCGGAGAGGCAGCAGCACUCUUUCUUGGCGGCCACCGGCGCAUGCGAAGCAGCAGCGCAGCAUGCUACGUCCAGCCGAUCUCCGCUCGCCACCCCCACUGCAGUCUUCUCUCCCUCCAACUCGAAGUUACCGGCGCCGGCUACUUCCGUACCGGCAGCCGCGUCCUCGUCCGUGGGUCGGGAUCACCCGCCGCCGAAGGCGCUGCUGCGAAGCCCCGCCAAUGACCUCAGCGAUGGCGGCGUUGGUGCUCUCUGCCCCCACCCCAGCACGAAGCGGCUUGGCGUGGCUGAGUUUUUCUGGGCCUUGCAAGUCGCCCCACCGCCAUCCACGCGGCAAGGCGGGUGCAUAUACGGCGAUCGCUGCCAAGCGUCGGCCGCGUCCUUGCGCAGACCACCAGAGAUGGCGGACGAGGACAUCCCCCUCGGCGGCGCGUACGGUGCGACGAGCCGGCCAGUGGAGAGGGUGUCGUCCGCGUCGGCGGAGAAGCCGCCGCCUCACCAUGUCUCGCGCUACCACCUUGACCACUGGCACAAUCCGCGGCAACGGCAGGGCGCCGAGACGGAGGCGGUGGCCCUCGCCUGCGAGAGCGCCUGGCUGAAUUCGGACUACUACUGCUACCAUAUCAAAGAGGAGAUGUCGAGUCUGCGCGUGGUGUCCUCUCCCGACGAGGCCGUCGAUGGCAGCGGCUCCGCAGUGCCCGCUAUGAACGACAACGAAGUGGGUCGACGGCUUCCCCACCACAUCCCCGCUGCCGCGUCGCCGCCGUUAGCCGAAGACAACACCCCGCUGUCGAGCCCCACUCCACACAGCACCCCGGUGGCAACAGCGCAGUGGUCGGUGUUAGAGGGAACGGUGACGUCAGUGUGGUCCCCGGCGAAGACGAGGAGCGCGGCCAUGUUGGCCGGCAUCGUCUCCUCGCCAGCCGAGCGUUGCUACUGGCUGCCGUACCUUCAGCGACUGUGGGUGACGUCGGUGUUGCGGCAUCUGCUGCUGUUUUUCCUUGUCACGGCGAUUUGUGUGCUUCUCUUCAUCCCUGGCGUUGUGCUGGCCACCGUGAACGUCUUUGAGGCCGCCGAGGGGGAGGACUUCUACGCUCUUCACAACCGCUUCGGCCGCAGCGCCAUGCUCGUCGCGGCGAGGCUGGAUGCGUGCACGCUCGUGCUCUUCGCCUUCUUCGGUGCUCUGUGCAUGAUUAAUCAUCGGCAGCAGCCGAAGUCCUUGGCUUCGGUGGAUGCGCAGCAAGAAGAAGCAGAGACGGCGGCGGCGGUUUCGGUCCCUGCGGCUGGAUCGGCGGCUCCCGCCACCACCGCGGCGAGGCAGCCGUGGCGUAGCAUCUUCUCUGUGAAGUCAGUUGGUGCGUUCGUCCACCUCAUGCUGUGCGCCGGCACCGGCCUCAUGUUUUGGGGCACCGUUCUGCUCCGUGAGGGCUGCCGCAAUACGAACCUGCCGCUGGCGAUUCUCGGCGAAUCCUGCUACGGCGCCGGGGAGGCGUUGCUGCUGGCUGGGCUGGGCACCGUCGUGAGUGCGGAGGUUGGCGUUGCCGCCGGUGUUAUUGUCAGCUUGCAGAUCCUAUUCUUGUCGUGGCUUAUCGUGAACGUCUUCGGCUUCUUCGUUCUCCCCAGCCUGAGCUACUACUUAUACAUCACCGCGGCUAUGUUGAACGCGCUUGUGUACGUGAACGGCUUCAUUGGUGCCUUGGUCUUCAGCGUCGUGAUGCUGUGCCCUCGUGACCUGAUCGAGCGUGCCGUGCGAGCAAGCGGGAAGGAUAUCACGCCGCGCAACCUUUGGUCAGCCGCGAGGCAUGACGUCUCGCUCUGUUUUCUUCUACGUGCUCUGACCGUUGGUCUACUGACAGCGGCGGUGGUGCUGCUCAUGAGCUGCGGGUACGCCGUCUUCAUCCCGACGCAGGCGGCCGCCGCGGCGGUGGCCGAGUCAACCAAGUCGCACGAGCUGAUGAGCACCAGCACCGGCAAGGGCUCGAGGGCCACGGAGGCGACGGGGUCUCUCACGACCUAUCAGGACAGCUGGGCCACGCACCAGCGCCACGCACCGGUGCUGCUUUUCACGUAUGCGCUGGUGACGAUGCCGAUGUGCUUCAUCCCGCGCUUGGCAGCGCUCAUCAACCGAUGGUGCUCGGUGCCGCUGCUGACGACGCUGCUAUGCGUCAUGUGGAUCAUCAGCACGGGGGCCUCGUGGGCGCCAGUUCUCGGCCUGGGAGCGUUGGCGUCGAACAGCGGCGGCAAGGACGGCGUAGCCAUCGCCGCGGUCUCGGCGGUGGUGUCGUGGUGUAGCGGUGUUUGGCUUUGGCUGGCGGAGCGCCACAUCCUGAAUCCCUGCGUCGACGCCUGCGCGAUCGCCACGGGCGCCAUCUACACCGUUGUCGUCAGCAGUCUUCUGCGUUCGAUGGUGAAUGCUGGGGUGCUGUUGCCCGUCAUGCAUCCAAACCGCUGGCGCAUGGCCUUUCACGAGCGAGACCGCCACUUGGAAGCCGCCGCAGCACGCUUCCCCAGCGAAUCUACGCCUCUCCUGGAAGCUAGUGCGCAGAAGGGGUGUUGCAAGAACGCCAAGGCGGCAGCGGCGGGAGCCGUGUGCCCCGACACGGCGGCUGCCCCCCAUGCAGGCUCUGCUAACGCCCCCACGGCCACCAGAACGCACACUGGGGAGGAGUCGAAGACCUACGCAGAGGAGCUGCAGCGCUGUGUGCGGAUGCAGCUGCGCGGCGGACCGGCAGUCAUGACCGUGCUGGCGUGCACGCUGAUCAUGGUGGUGCUGCUCCUGUGCGUGGCGGUGAUGACGACAGCGGCGGUGCUGCUGAUCGACCGCGCUGAGUCGCCAGUGUACGUGAAUCGCCUCCUGCCUGGCGUGACCUUGGAUGAGCACCUGAUCGCAAAGAGCACCCUAACCUUCGUGCUUAUCGCGGCGAUGCUGGUGCAGUGGGUGGAGGUGGCCCACCGGUUCCGGCGCUGCCGCAGCAGCUGAGGUGUUUUCACGUGUGUGGGUGUGUGAGGUGAGCACGUGUGGUGAAGUACGAGGCAGUUUUGGUGUAGCAGAUGUGGGUGCUCUGCACUCUCUGUGUGUUUCAUGUGCGGUGAUUUCG
Molecule: unclassified non-coding RNA, 4452 nt
Filed under: Leishmania donovani
Lineage: Eukaryota; Euglenozoa; Kinetoplastea; Trypanosomatida; Trypanosomatidae
Description: gene:LdHU3.09.0990(CDS-product:hypothetical_prote in_conserved)
Source: RNAcentral